GGGAGUGAAAUAGAACCUGAAACCCUGCACUUACAAGCUGUGGAAGCACAUUUCUUGUGUGACCGCGUACUUUUUGUAGAACGGGCCAACGAGUUACGUUAAGUAGCAAGGUUAAGCACUUAAGGUGCGGAGCCGUAGCGAAAGCGAGUUUUAACUGAGCGUUCAGUUACUUGACGUAGACCCGAAACCGGGCGACCUACCCAUGAGCAGGAUGAAGCGAAAGUAAAAU
RNAcentral lists this ribosomal RNA (229 nucleotides) under Clostridioides difficile. Its description in RNAcentral is "partial 23S ribosomal RNA". It matches the Rfam family "Bacterial large subunit ribosomal RNA", at positions 534 to 762 of the family's 2925-position model. The record is from RNAcentral. Lineage: Bacteria; Bacillati; Bacillota; Clostridia; Peptostreptococcales; Peptostreptococcaceae.